GCGGAGGAAAAGAAACCAACAGGGAUUGCCNUAGUAACGGCGAGUGAAGCGGCAUCAGCUCAAAUUUGAAAUCUGGCUCUUUNAGGGUCCGAGUUGUAAUUUGCAGAGGGCGCUUUGGCGUUGGCAGCGGUCCAAGUUCCUUGGAACAGGACGUCACAGAGGGUGAGAAUCCCGUACGUGGUCGCUGGCCUUCGCCGUGUAAAGCCCCUUCGACGAGUCGAGUUGUUUGGGAAUGCAGCUCUAAAUGGGAGGUAAAUUUCUUCUAAAGCUAAAUACUGGCCAGAGACCGAUAGCGCACAAGUAGAGUGAUCGAAAGAUGAAAAGCACUUUGGAAAGAGAGUCAAAUAGCACGUGAAAUUGUUGAAAGGGAAGCGCUUGCAGCCAGACUUGCCUGUAGUUGUUCAUCUGGGCUCUUGCCCUGUGCACUCUUCUGCGGGCAGGCCAGCAUCAGUCUGGGCGGUUGGAUAAAGGCCUCUGUCAUGUACCUCCUCUCGGGGAGGCCUUAUAGGGGAGGCGUAAUGCAACCAGCCUGGACUGAGGUC
This 542-nucleotide ribosomal RNA is filed under the name Pleurophoma sp. f276. RNAcentral's name for it is "eukaryotic LSU rRNA". It matches the Rfam family "Eukaryotic large subunit ribosomal RNA", at positions 50 to 596 of the family's 3401-position model. The record is from RNAcentral. Lineage: Eukaryota; Fungi; Ascomycota; Dothideomycetes; Pleosporales; Lentitheciaceae.